CGUAGGGGGCGAGCGUUGUCCGAGGUUACUAGGGCGUAAAGAGCUCGUAGGCGGCUCGUCGCGUCGACCGUGAAAACCCGCGGCUUAACUGCGGGCUUGCGGUUGAUACGGGCGGGCUAGAGUUCGUAGGGGAGACUGGAAUUCCUGGUGUAGCGGUGAAAUGCGCAGAUAUCAGGAGGAACACCGGUGGCGAAGGCGGGUCUCUGGGCCGAUACUGACGCUGAGGAGCGAAAGCGUGGGGAGCGAACAGGAUUAGAUACCCUGGUAGUCCACGCUGUAAACGUUGGGCGCUAGGUGUGGGGGGCCUCUCCGGUUCUCUGUGCCGCAGCUAACGCAUUAAGCGCCCCGCCUGGGGAGUACGGCCGCAAGGCUA
Molecule: ribosomal RNA, 373 nt
Filed under: uncultured organism
Description: bacterial SSU rRNA
Rfam family: Bacterial small subunit ribosomal RNA
Source: RNAcentral